UGUAUUCACUCGUCAUUAAUGAAAGCAGGUUUGGCAAACUGGUAAGAAAGGUAAACGUCAGUCAUUGCUGCUUUUUGCCACCUAUACAUUUUCAAACUUUUGUGUACUGUAUUUUGAAAUUAAAUUUAUAUAUUAGCUAAGUGUAUGACACAUAGUCAAAUUCUGAAUUUAUAAUACAUUAAUUUACUUGUUAGAAAAAUAGCUUGUAGUUAGCUGAUUAAAUAUUUGAAUGAUAAACCAUUGCAUAAAUACCUUCAUUCUAUUUUGGUGAACACAGAUGCUUAUUCAUUAACUAGCGAGAUAUGCCAAUUAGUGGAGUGGUGCCGCAGCAACAACCCUGGCAGUCAACGUCAGUAAGACGAAAGCGCUGACUGUGAACUUCAGGAAGGGUAAGAUGAAGAAAUGCACACCAAUCCCCACAGAGGGAUAAGAAGUGAAGAGAGUGAGUAGCUUCAAGUUUCUGUGUGUCAAGAUCUCUGGGGAUCUCACUUGGUCUCAACAUAUCGAUGCAGUUAUAAAGAAGGCAAAACAGCGGCUAUACUUCAUUAGGAGUUUGAAGAGAUUUGGUUCUUUUGAAGAAGCGACCUGGAGUUACAUGCUGACUUCAGCUCUUUUUGGAAAUGGAAACUGCUCUCAGGGCUUUUCGAUAUGCCAAGGACGUGGCCUGGAAGAAUUAUAGACAAUGAGCUGGAAAGAUGUUAGUCAAGUUAAUUUCACAACAGACUCUCUUCAGCCAGCAAAAACAGAAGAUGUUCAUUAGUUGGUCCAGUCUCAAAUCCCAUGCAUAAGAGACAAUCUGCCACAAAGUUCUUACAAAUCAUGCAAGAAAAAAUCAGAGAUAAGUAUUAAAUUUCGUAAACUGGAAUAUCAUGCAAGUGGUGGGAAGUUCUGUUGGGGUAAUGUAUUGGCAUGGAUGGAAGAUUGGUUAACCAAUAGAAGGGAGAGAGAUGUUUCUCUGGUUGGCAGUCAGUGGUAAGUGGAGUGCCCCAGAGGUUUAUGUUUGGCCCACAACUGUUCACAAUAUACAUUAACAAUAUGGAGGAAGUGCCAGGAGUGUAGCACAACCUAAGUUUGCUGAUGAUACUAAACUGAGUGGAAAAGCAAACUGUGCAGAGGAUGAAGAGAGUCUACAGAGUGAUGCGGAUAGGUUAAGUGAGUGGACAAGGGUCUGGAAGAUAGAAUACAGCAUUGAUAAACACAAGGCCAUCCACUUUGGAAGGAACAUAGAAGACCAGAUUAUUAAUUGAAUAGUGAAAGAUUACAGCAAUCUAUUGUGUAGAGGGAAUUGGGAGUGCUGGUGCAUGAAUUGCAAAAGGUUGGUUUGCAGGUGCAACAGGCUAUCAAGAAGGCAAAUGGAAUGUUAGCCUUCAUUGCUAGAAGGAUUGAAUGUAAGAACAGAGAGAUUAUGCUACAACUGUAUAGGUACGGCAAGGUUGCAUUUGGACUAUUGUUUGCAUUUCUGGUUUCUUCACUUGAGAAAGAUCAUACUGGUUUUGCAGGUAGUGCACAGGAGGCUCAUGAGGUUGAUUCCAGAGAUGAGGAGAGCUAGAGUGACCUGGAACUAUGCUCACUAGAACCCAGAAGAAUGAGAGGGGACCUUAAGGAAACAUAAAAUUAUUAAGGGGAUAUAUAAGAUAGAGGCAGGAAAGAUGUUUCCACUGGUAAUUAAAACUAGAGGACAAAGCCUUAAGAUUCAGGGGAAACAGAUUUGGGAUGGAGAUGAGAAGAAGCUGUUUUUUACCCUGAGAGUAGUAAGUCUAUGGAAUUAUCUGUACAGGGAAGCAGUAGAAGUUACCUCAUUCAAAAUAUCUAAGAGAGUUAAACUGAAUUUUUGCAUAACUGGGGAGUUAAGGGCAAUGAGGAAAAGGCAGAUAGAUGGAUGUGAGUUAAUCACCAGAUAAGCCAUGAUCUUUUAUUGGAUGAUGGAAAAGUCUCAACAGACCAAAUGUUCCCUCCUGCUCCUAUUUCUUGUUCUUAACUACUUUGUAAUUGUAUGCCACAGGGAAGGGUUAUUGUAUACCAUUGCUAGAUUUUCAA
Molecule: long non-coding RNA, 2037 nt
Organism: Hypanus sabinus (Atlantic stingray)
Lineage: Eukaryota; Metazoa; Chordata; Chondrichthyes; Myliobatiformes; Dasyatidae
Exons: 4
Source: RefSeq, a predicted model, not a curated record